RNAcentral lists this ribosomal RNA (532 nucleotides) under uncultured bacterium. RNAcentral's name for it is "bacterial SSU rRNA". It matches the Rfam family "Bacterial small subunit ribosomal RNA", at positions 8 to 526 of the family's 1533-position model. The record is from RNAcentral.
AGAGUUUGAUCAUGGCUCAGGACGAACGCUGGCGGCGCGCUUAAUACAUGCAAGUCGAGCGAGAACCAUGGCUUCGACCAUGGGGACAGCGGCGAACGGGUGAGUAACACGUGGGUAAUCAACCCCCGACACCGGGAUAGCCCAGGGAAACUUGGAUUAAUACCGGAUGCCCCAUCUGGCUUUCGAGCCGGCUGGAAAAGGGUAGCUUCGGCCUCUGGUCGGGGACGAGCCCGCGGCGGAUUAGCUUGUUGGUGAGGUAAAGGCUCACCAAGGCGACGAUCCGUAGCUGGUCUGAGAGGACGAUCAGCCACACUGGGACUGAGACACGGCCCAGACUCCUACGGGAGGCAGCAGUAGGGAAUCUUGCGCAAUGGGCGAAAGCCUGACGCAGCGAUGCCGCGUGAGGGAAGAAGGCCUUCGGGUUGUAAACCUCUUUCAGGAGGGACGAAGCCACUCGGGUGAAUAGCCCAGAGGGUGACGGUACCUCCAGAAGAAGCCCCGGCUAACUACGUGCCAGCAGCCGCGGUAAUAC